This 489-nucleotide ribosomal RNA is filed under the name uncultured bacterium. RNAcentral's name for it is "bacterial SSU rRNA". It matches the Rfam family "Bacterial small subunit ribosomal RNA", at positions 33 to 507 of the family's 1533-position model. The record is from RNAcentral.
GACGCUGGCGGUGUGCUUAACACAUGCAAGUGGUGCGACGAACCAGAGCUUGCUCUGGGGCAAAGCCGCGAACGGGUGAGUAACACGUGGGUAAUCUACCCCGAUGACCGGGACAACCCGAGGAAACUCGGGCUAAUACCGGAUGUGGUACGGAGACAUAAGUCUCUUUACUAAAGGUAGCUUCGGCUUCCGCAUUGGGAGGGGCCCGCGGCCCAUUAGCUAGUUGGUGGGGUCAAGGCCUACCAAGGCAACGAUGGGUAGCUGGUCUGAGAGGACGAUCAGCCACACUGGGACUGAGACACGGCCCAGACUCCUACGGGAGGCAGCAGUGGGGAAUCUUGCGCAAUGCGCGAAAGCGUGACGCAGCAACACCGCGUGAGGGAAGACGGCCUCAGGGUUGUAAACCUCUUUCAGAUGGGACGAAGGUGAUGCGGUGAAUAGCCGAUGUCAUUGACGGUACCGUCAGAAGAAGCUCCGGCUAACUACGUG